RNAcentral lists this ribosomal RNA (485 nucleotides) under uncultured bacterium. RNAcentral describes it as "bacterial SSU rRNA". It matches the Rfam family "Bacterial small subunit ribosomal RNA", at positions 791 to 1276 of the family's 1533-position model. The record is from RNAcentral.
UAGUCCACGCCGUAAACGAUGUCAACUAGCCGUUGGGAGCAUAUAAGCUCUGAGUGGCGCAGCUAACGCGAUAAGUUGACCGCCUGGGGAGUACGCCGGCAACGGUAGAACUCAAAGGAAUUGACGGGGGCCCGCACAAGCGGUGGAGCAUGUGGUUUAAUUCGAUGCAACGCGAAAAACCUUACCUACCCUUGACAUCCUCAGAACUUGUUAGAGAUAACUUGGUGCCUUCGGGAACUGAGUGACAGGUGCUGCAUGGCUGUCGUCAGCUCGUGUCGUGAGAUGUUGGGUUAAGUCUCGCAACGAGCGCAACCCCUAUCGUUAGUUGCCAUCAUUCAGUUGGGCACUCUAGCGAGACUGCCGGUGAUAAGCCGGAGGAAGGCGGGGAUGACGUCAAGUCCUCAUGGCCCUUAUGGGCUGGGCUACACACGUGUUACAAUGGCAGAUACAGUGGGCAGCUACACCGCGAGGUGAUGCUAAUCCCC